CCAGGCUGUGCGCACGUGCAGAGACAGAGGGUGAUGGGGAAGAGGGAGGGACAUUGGGACCUCCCAGAGAGAGUCCCCCAACUGAUAUCUUAACCCGGUGUUCAGGGCAGAGCAAGACUUGGCAGGUCUAGGCGUUCUCUCCAGAAGGCCGCUGUUACAUCUGCUGCAGGGACCCCGAGUCUAACAGCUGAGCACACCUCAUCACGUACGCAGAGAGCAGUGCACACAGGUGGACAAGUCAUUCCGCUUCUCCAUUAAAUGAGGGAAUUGGCAAAACGGCUCUUCAGUUCUAUCCAGCUCCCACGUUGUGUGAUAUGAGAAAGAAGAAACAGCUGGCUCAGGGGAAUCAAGUUCACCGAAAAAGGGACCAAAUGUUCUUCUUAGAACAGCACAUACCCAGAAACAAGUACAGGUGAAAGGAGAUUGUUGUCAAGUGGGUUUUCUUAUCUGAUCAUCUUCUCCUUUCUGAUGGUGAACAUGCCCAGUGAUAAUCAUCACCACCCCAGACUUUGAUAAAUCGGCAGCUCUAAUACUUCCUAUCAUAGCACACCUGUGCUCUGUGGCUCUCUUCCUGGGAGCAGGGCUCAUGCCACUUCCCAGUCUUCAGGAAAGCCUCCAUGGGGGCUGGACUCCCCUCCAGCCCCUGUCAACAUUGAGAUGCUGAGCAUCUGUGGAUUGCAUGGUUGGCGGGCAGCAGGGAUGUGGGGAGAGGGAAGAACGUGAAGGAAGGGGAUAAUAUCUACGUCUUCAACUGGGACUCAUAGGAAGCAGUAGAACGUCCCUAAAAUCUUACCCUUCCGCACUCACUCCCUCACCUGUAAAAACUCCAAAGCACAGAUAUGGUCAUGUGAUUGCUCGACUCAGAAAUCUUCAGUGACUUCCUGCUACCACACUUGGCAUUUGGGACCAUCAAUGACCGAACUCCAGGCCUUCCUUCCCAGCUUGCUGCCACCCACCCUUCAGUCAGGGUCUCUCAUCUCCUUGGGAGAAACCCCUCAUCUUUGCACCCCCACCUUUUUUCUGAGCUAGAUAUUCUUUCUUUUUUUUAUUUUAAUGGUUUUUUUUAUUAUAUUAUGUUAGUCACCAUACAGUACAUCCCUGGUUUCUGAUGUAAAGUUCGAUGAUUAGAUGUUCUUUCUAAAACGCUCUCAUUCCA
Molecule: long non-coding RNA, 1156 nt
Organism: Ailuropoda melanoleuca (giant panda)
Lineage: Eukaryota; Metazoa; Chordata; Mammalia; Carnivora; Ursidae
Exons: 3
Source: RefSeq, a predicted model, not a curated record